UACGUAGGGGACGAGCGUUGUCCGGAAUUACUGGGCGUAAAGGGCGCGCAGGCGGAUAUUUAAGUCAGCUGUUAAAGUCAUGGGCUCAACUCAUGGAUGCGGUUGAAACUGGGUAUCUAGAGUGCUGGAGAGGUAGGCGGAAUUCCCGGUGUAGCGGUGAAAUGCGUAGAUAUCGGGAAGAACACCAGUGGCGAAGGCGGCUUACUGGCCAGCAACUGACGCUGAGGCGCGAAAGCCAGGGGAGCGAACGGGAUUAGAUACCCUGGUA
This 268-nucleotide ribosomal RNA is filed under the name uncultured prokaryote. RNAcentral's name for it is "partial 16S ribosomal RNA". It matches the Rfam family "Bacterial small subunit ribosomal RNA", at positions 524 to 792 of the family's 1533-position model. The record is from RNAcentral.